GUUCGAGCGUCAUUUCAACCCUCAAGCUCAGCUUGGUAUUGAGUCCAUGUCAGCAAUGGCAGGCUCUAAAAUCAGUGGCGGCGCCAUUGGGUCCUGAACGUAGUAAUAUCUCUCGUUACAGGCUCUCAGUGUGCUUCUGCCAAAACCCAAAUUUUUCUAUGGUUGACCUCGGAUCAGGUAGGGAUACCCGCUGAACUUAA
RNAcentral lists this unclassified non-coding RNA (200 nucleotides) under soil metagenome. RNAcentral describes it as "partial contains internal transcribed spacer 2 and large subunit ribosomal RNA". The record is from RNAcentral.